UACGAAGGGGGCUAGCGUUGUUCGGAAUUACUGGGCGUAAAGCGCGCGCAGGCGGUUUUUCAAGUCAGUGGUUAAAGCCCGGAGCUCAACUCCGGAACUGCCAUUGAAACUGUAAAACUUGAGGAUGAGAGAGGUGAGUGGAAUUCCCAGUGUAGAGGUGAAAUUCGUAGAUAUUGGGAAGAACACCGGUGGCGAAGGCGGCUCACUGGCUCAUAUCUGACGCUCAGGCGCGACAGCGUGGGGAUCAAACAGG
Molecule: ribosomal RNA, 253 nt
Filed under: uncultured bacterium
Lineage: Bacteria
Description: partial 16S ribosomal RNA
Rfam family: Bacterial small subunit ribosomal RNA
Source: RNAcentral